UUUUGAAUUAUCGCAAUUUAAAAUUUGACCUGCCCACUGAAUUUAUUUUAAAGGGCCGCGGUAUUUUGACCGUGCAAAGGUAGCAUAAUAAUCAUUAGUCCUUUAAUUGUGGACUGGAAUGAAUGGUUUGACGAGGUAUUAACUGUCUCAUUAAAUAAUUACAAUUAAAAUUUAACUUUUGAGUCAAAAGGCUUAAAUUUAUAUAUAGGACGAGAAGACCCUAUAGAGCUUGACUUUAAUUGAUUUUAUAUUAAAUAUUUUGUAUAUCUUUUUUAUUAUAAAAUUAAUUAUUUUAUUGGGGUGAUAUCAGAAAGAAUUAAUUAACUCUUUAUUUAUUAAAACAUUAAUUUAUGAUUAUUUGAUCCAUUAAUAGUGAUUAUAAUUAGAUUAAGUUACCUUAGGGAUAACAGCGUAAUGUUUUUUGAGAGUUCUUAUCAACAAAAAAGAUUGCGACC
Molecule: ribosomal RNA, 455 nt
Filed under: Diestrammena asynamora
Lineage: Eukaryota; Metazoa; Arthropoda; Insecta; Orthoptera; Rhaphidophoridae
Description: partial 16S ribosomal RNA
Source: RNAcentral